AUGGGAAUUAGUUAAAAAGUCAAAGUUCAACGUCAUAAAUGAUCAUAAAUAAGUGUUCCGUGAAAAUUAAUAUUUGAAAAUUUAAUUUGUUCAUAAUUCUUUUAUGUAAUAAACUUAUUUAAAUAAAUUCGGACCUUCCCUUAUCUGAUCACCAGCAUGGCUAAAGGUAUUGUGAGGUGACACGUCCAGGUAUUCAAGCGAUUUCGUGUCGGACUUGCAAGUUCAUGCAUCGUUUUACUUCUGAGGGUAUUGAUCAGUGUACA
This 263-nucleotide long non-coding RNA is filed under the name Mytilus galloprovincialis (Mediterranean mussel). Lineage: Eukaryota; Metazoa; Mollusca; Bivalvia; Mytilida; Mytilidae. The record is from RNAcentral.